This 468-nucleotide ribosomal RNA is filed under the name uncultured bacterium. Its description in RNAcentral is "partial 16S ribosomal RNA". It matches the Rfam family "Bacterial small subunit ribosomal RNA", at positions 28 to 507 of the family's 1533-position model. The record is from RNAcentral.
GACGAACGCUGGCGGCGCGCCUAACACAUGCAAGUCGAACGGAGUCACGAGGCGCUUGCUUUUCUUGACUUAGUGGCGAACGGGUGAGUAACGCGUGAGCAACCUGCCCUGGAGUGGGGGACAACAGUUGGAAACGACUGCUAAUACCGCAUAAGCCCACGGAUCCGCAUGGAUCUGCGGGAAAAGGAUUUAUUCGCUUCAGGAUGGACUCGCGUCCAAUUAGCUAGUUGGUGAGGUAACGGCCCACCAAGGCGACGAUUGGUAGCCGGACUGAGAGGUUGAACGGCCACAUUGGGACUGAGACACGGCCCAGACUCCUACGGGAGGCAGCAGUGGGGGAUAUUGCACAAUGGGGGAAACCCUGAUGCAGCGACGCCGCGUGGAGGAAGAAGGUUUUCGGAUUGUAAACUCCUGUCGUUAGGGACGAUAAUGACGGUACCUAACAAGAAAGCACCGGCUAACUACGUG